CUUGCAACCAAUAAGAGGUCCAGCCUGCCCAGUGACUCUGUUCAACGGCCGCGGUAUCCUAACCGUGCAAAGGUAGCGCAAUCAUUUGUCCUUUAAAUAAGGACUAGUAUGAACGGCACCACGAAAGCUAUACUGUCUCCUUCCCCUAAUCAGUGAAACUAAUCUUCCCGUGAAGAAGCGGGGAUAAUUUUAUAAGACGAGAAGACCCUAUGGAGCUUUAAACACACAACAAUUGUCACGGACCUACCCCCUUCCCCGGAAGAAACCGCCCACCCGAACAUUUUGAUUGCAAGUUUUAGGUUGGGGUGACCACGGAACAAAAAAUAACCUCCAUGGUGAAUAGGAUUCUUUCCCUUAAACCCAGGGCCACGACCCCAAGGAUCAAUAAAUUGACACCCAUUGACCCAAUACUUUUGACCAACGAAC
Molecule: ribosomal RNA, 426 nt
Filed under: Leptodactylus petersii group sp. ABGD cluster 93
Lineage: Eukaryota; Metazoa; Chordata; Amphibia; Anura; Leptodactylidae
Description: partial large subunit ribosomal RNA
Rfam family: Bacterial large subunit ribosomal RNA
Source: RNAcentral